This 113-nucleotide unclassified non-coding RNA is filed under the name Brucella sp. 191011898. Its description in RNAcentral is "BASRCI153". The record is from RNAcentral. Lineage: Bacteria; Pseudomonadati; Pseudomonadota; Alphaproteobacteria; Hyphomicrobiales; Brucellaceae.
GCAUUUUCGAGCCAAAAGUGCGAAGCGUCUACGCGGGGAAAUCAGUCCACUGGACUGAUUUCUGAUCCCGCUUCGAUGCGUAGGAUAAUGCGACCAAACAAAAAGAUAGAGCG